UAGGGAAUCUUCGGCAAUGGACGGAAGUCUGACCGAGCAACGCCGCGUGAGUGAAGAAGGUUUUCGGAUCGUAAAGCUCUGUUGUUAGAGAAGAACGUUGGUAGGAGUGGAAAAUCUACCAAGUGACGGUAACUAACCAGAAAGGGACGGCUAACUACGUGCCAGCAGCCGCGGUAAUACGUAGGUCCCGAGCGUUGUCCGGAUUUAUUGGGCGUAAAGCGAGCGCAGGCGGUUCUUUAAGUCUGAAGUUAAAGGCAGUGGCUUAACCAUUGUACGCUUUAGAAGCUGGAGGACUUGAGUGCAGAAGGGGAGAGUGGAAUUCCAUGUGUAGCGGUGGAAUAAGUAGAUAUAUGGAGGAACCCCAGUGGCGAAGGCGGCUCACUGAUCUGAAACAGACGCUGAGGCUAGAAAGCGUGGGGAGCAAACAGG
RNAcentral lists this ribosomal RNA (429 nucleotides) under Bacillota bacterium. RNAcentral describes it as "Firmicutes bacterium partial 16S ribosomal RNA". It matches the Rfam family "Bacterial small subunit ribosomal RNA", at positions 355 to 776 of the family's 1533-position model. Lineage: Bacteria; Bacillati; Bacillota. The record is from RNAcentral.